RNAcentral lists this ribosomal RNA (460 nucleotides) under uncultured bacterium. RNAcentral's name for it is "partial 16S ribosomal RNA". It matches the Rfam family "Bacterial small subunit ribosomal RNA", at positions 338 to 795 of the family's 1533-position model. The record is from RNAcentral.
CCUACGGGUGGCAGCAGUGAGGAAUAUUGGUCAAUGGGCGUAAGCCUGAACCAGCCAAGUCGCGUGAGGGAUGAAGGUUCUAUGGAUCGUAAACCUCUUUUAUAAGGGAAUAAAGUGCGGGACGUGUCCUGUUUUGUAUGUGCCUUUUGAAUAAGAAUAGGUUAACUCUGUGCCAGCAGCAGCGGUAAUCCGGAGGAUCAGAGCGUUAUACGGAUUUAUUGGGUUUAAAGGGUGCGUAGGCGGCCGUUUAAUGCGGCGGUGAAAGUCUGUGGCUCAACCAAAGAUUUGCCGUUGAAACUGGGAGGCUUGAGUAUGUUUGAGGCAGGCGGAAUGCGUGGUGUAGCGGUGAAAUGCUUAGAGAUAACGCAGAACCCCGAUUGCGAAGGCAGCCUGCCAGGCCAUGACUGACGCUGAUGCACGAAAGCGUGGGGAUCAAACAGGAUUAGAUACCCUAGUAGUC